GGAUGUGAGAGUGAUCUGGCUAUGACAUCUGUCACCCCAUUGAUCACCAGGGUUGAUUCGGCUGAUCUGGCUGGUUAGGCAGGUGUCCCCUUCCUCCCUCACUGCUACACGUGCGUCCCUCCUGAAGCUGUGCGCGAUCGGUUGAAGAGGACGGCCUUCCCCAAAAGUGGGAUACAGAAAACUCAUUGCAAGAAAUAGACAAGAUUUUUGCAAAACUGAUGAACACUAUAAAUCUACACAGUAAAUUCAGACAAGCAAAAAACAUGAAAGAAGUCUUCAUGGAUGCACAUUACCAUUAAAC
This 301-nucleotide small RNA is filed under the name Erinaceus europaeus (western European hedgehog). Its description in RNAcentral is "7SK RNA (ENSEEUG00000021275.1)". The stretch from base 1 to 188 matches the Rfam family "7SK RNA". Rfam says of the family: 7SK was discovered as an abundant small nuclear RNA in the mid-70s but a possible function has only recently been suggested. Two independent studies have found that 7SK RNA binds the CDK9/cyclin T complex (known as elongation factor P-TEFb). P-TEFb activates transcription by phosphorylating the C-terminal domain of RNA polymerase II. The record is from RNAcentral. Lineage: Eukaryota; Metazoa; Chordata; Mammalia; Eulipotyphla; Erinaceidae.